Molecule: long non-coding RNA, 844 nt
Filed under: Bos taurus (domestic cattle)
Lineage: Eukaryota; Metazoa; Chordata; Mammalia; Artiodactyla; Bovidae
Description: long non-coding RNA NONBTAT025690
Source: RNAcentral
GUUGCAGAGUUGUAGUUUUAAAAAAAGAAACCUCUUAUUACCUACAAGAUAAAUACAAGAAAAGCUGUGAUGGGUUGUACCUCAUAUGUACCUUUGUUAUUCUGGAAAGACUCAACUCUGGUUAUAGGAAAAGAAUAAUCUGAGGUUGAUACUCAAGGCUGUAUAUUAGGAGUCUUGUCAGAAGUUGAAACGUGCUGUUUUAACAAGAAGUGCCCCAGUGUGACUAUAUUAAUACUGCAGUUCAACUUGAACUUGAAAGCCAUUUUGCAAGAUAAGUCUUUCCCCUUGCUGUGUCUUAUUGAAUGAAGCUAAAGAGUGACUAUUCAAUACAUGGGAUUGCGCCUUUAAAGUUAACAGGAAAUACGCAUUUGUGAACCAGUGACUCUGGCUCACCCAUGAGCCCGGGAAUGGUAAUAACAGUAUCAAGCUGUAAUGGUGCUCGACCAAUUGAGUAUUAACUAAGAAUGAUUUUACCUAGAAAUAAAACUAAGUGGAGAGUCAUAUUAGUUCUCAGUUAACAUUAACAGAGAUAAUAAUACAACAUAGUCUUCCACUAAAACCUUGAAUUUCCAAAAUGUUUUGGAACCUUUGUGAAAAAUUGGAACACUUUAACCUCUAUAUUCUAGUACAUUUUCCCGACCAUGUUCUAAAAUCUUGAAAACUGUACUGAACAAUGCAUAUUAUUUUAUGUUUAUCUUUGUCUUCUCAAUACCUUCCCCUGCCCUUCCUCUGACUUUUCAUAAGUUGGAGGCAAGGGCUAACUUUUAUAUUUUCUCUCUUGGGAGAGACUUAAUUGUGAUUUUCAGACUUCUUUCUCACUUGUUACGUUUGUGUUUAGGUAGCC